RNAcentral lists this unclassified non-coding RNA (20 nucleotides) under Mus musculus (house mouse). Its description in RNAcentral is "oocyte_clustered_small_RNA8953". Lineage: Eukaryota; Metazoa; Chordata; Mammalia; Rodentia; Muridae. The record is from RNAcentral.
GACCACUUCCGAUAUCUUCC